RNAcentral lists this ribosomal RNA (465 nucleotides) under Vreelandella stevensii. RNAcentral describes it as "partial 16S ribosomal RNA". It matches the Rfam family "Bacterial small subunit ribosomal RNA", at positions 338 to 795 of the family's 1533-position model. The record is from RNAcentral. Lineage: Bacteria; Pseudomonadati; Pseudomonadota; Gammaproteobacteria; Oceanospirillales; Halomonadaceae.
CCUACGGGGGGCUGCAGUGGGGAAUAUUGGACAAUGGGGGGAACCCUGAUCCAGCCAUGCCGCGUGUGUGAAGAAGGCCCUCGGGUUGUAAAGCACUUUCAGUGAGGAAGAACGCCUGGUGGUUAAUACCCAUCAGGAAAGACAUCACUCACAGAAGAAGCACCGGCUAACUCCGUGCCAGCAGCCGCGGUAAUACGGAGGGUGCGAGCGUUAAUCGGAAUUACUGGGCGUAAAGCGCGCGUAGGUGGCUUGAUAAGCCGGUUGUGAAAGCCCCGGGCUCAACCUGGGAACGGCAUCCGGAACUGUCAAGCUAGAGUGCAGGAGAGGAAGGUAGAAUUCCCGGUGUAGCGGUGAAAUGCGUAGAGAUCAGGAGGAAUACCAGUGGCGAAGGCGGCCUUCUGGACUGACACUGACACUGAGGUGCGAAAGCGUGGGUAGCAAACAGGAUUAGAUACCCUGGUAGUC